GAUGAACGCUGGCGGCGUGCCUAAUACAUGCAAGUCGAGCGGCAGCGAGUUCCUCACCGAGGCUCGGAACCGAUUACCGAUUAGCAAUUAGCGAUGAACGAUGGAUUACCGAUUAGCAAUUAGCGAAUAUUUCGUUAAUUGGUUAAUGGGUAAUUGUUAAUUCAUUGCAAAUUGAGAAUCGUUAAUUGAUAAUUUCCGAUCUUUAGUGAGGAAUGUCGGCGAGCGGCGGACGGCUGAGUAACACGUAGGAACGUACCCCAAACUGAGGGAUAAGCACCAGAAAUGGUGUCUAAUACCGCAUGUGCUCUAAGGAGUAAAGCUUCGGCGGUUUGGGAACGGCCUGCGCAUGAUUAGCUUGUUGGUAAGGUAAUGGCUUACCAAGGCGACGAUCAUUAGCUGGUCUGAGAGGAUGAUCAGCCAGACUGGGACUGAGACACGGCCCAGACUCCUACGGGAGGCAGCAGUAGGGAAUAUUCGGCCAAUGCGCG
RNAcentral lists this ribosomal RNA (488 nucleotides) under uncultured bacterium. Its description in RNAcentral is "bacterial SSU rRNA". It matches the Rfam family "Bacterial small subunit ribosomal RNA", at positions 28 to 377 of the family's 1533-position model. The record is from RNAcentral.